Molecule: ribosomal RNA, 505 nt
Filed under: uncultured bacterium
Lineage: Bacteria
Description: partial 16S ribosomal RNA
Rfam family: Bacterial small subunit ribosomal RNA
Source: RNAcentral
AUUGAACGCUGGCGGCACGCCUAACACAUGCAAGUCGAGCGGCAGCAUGCUUAGUAGCAAUACUAAGUGAUGGCGAGCGGCGGACGGGUGAGGAACACGUAGGAACCUGCCCAAAAGUGGGGGAUAACUAAGGGAAACUUUAGCUAAUACCGCAUAAUUCUCUGAGGAGAAAAGUUGCCCGUAAGGGUAGCGCUUUUGGAGGGGCCUGCGUCCGAUUAGUUAAUUGGUGAGGUAAUGGCUCACCAAGACGAUGAUCGGUAACUGGUCUGAGAGGACGACCAGUCACACUGGGACUGAGACACGGCCCAGACUCCUACGGGAGGCAGCAGUGGGGAAUCUUGGACAAUGGGGGCAACCCUGAUCCAGCGAUGCCGCGUGGGUGAAGAAGGCCUUCGGGUUGUAAAGCCCUUUAGGCUGGGAAGAAGAGUGCGGGGUGAAUAAUCCUGUACUUUGACGGUACCAGCAGAAUAAGCACCGGCAAACUCUGUGCCAGCCGCCGCGGUAA